GCUGGGCGUGGUGGCUCACGCCUGUAAUCCCAGCACUUUAGGAGGCUGAGGCAGGUGGAUCACCUGAGGUCAGGAGUUUGAGACCAGCCUGGCCAACAUGGCGAAACCCUGUCUCUA
This is a non-coding RNA of Gorilla gorilla gorilla (western lowland gorilla), 117 nucleotides long. It matches the Rfam family "Metazoan signal recognition particle RNA". Rfam says of the family: The signal recognition particle (SRP) is a universally conserved ribonucleoprotein. It is involved in the co-translational targeting of proteins to membranes. The record is from Rfam. Lineage: Eukaryota; Metazoa; Chordata; Mammalia; Primates; Hominidae.